AUGAUUCCUUGCACUUGGGGAUUAUCAACUAGAUCCAAUUCGAGGGAUCUUACAGGUUCAUUAAUCAAGCCUUGGCAGAAGAACUUGACAAGUUUCCAACAAUUAAAGAUCCAGAUCACGAAAUUGCAUUUCAAUUAUUUGCGAAAGGAUAUCAAUUGCUAG
Molecule: ribosomal RNA, 162 nt
Filed under: Triticum aestivum (bread wheat)
Lineage: Eukaryota; Viridiplantae; Streptophyta; Magnoliopsida; Poales; Poaceae
Description: partial small subunit ribosomal RNA
Source: RNAcentral